ACCUUGCUUUGGGAUAGGACUUAAUUGAACAUUUUUAAUUAAAUUUAUAAAUAAGUAAGCGAUUCAAUUUUUUUCUAAAAUUGAAAGCUUGGCUCUGACUUUACUGUAUAGUAAUAACUAAAAAAUACACAUGGUUUUUAUUGACAGAGACGAGGUAAAUUAAAAUUAUUAAAUUAUAUAAAAUACAAAAAUAAUUUUUGUUUAUGAUAUUAUUUUUUACAAAAUGUCUUGAAAAGUCCCGUUAACACCAGUGUUUGAGAUUAAGAUAAAAGCGAAAGCUUGUAUUAAUUUAGUAAUAAGAUCUGGUUAACUUGGUGCCAGCAUCCGCGGUUACACCAAGAGAUCAAAUUAUACAUAUUAGGUAAAAAGGUAGUUAAAUAUUAUAAAAUUAUUAAUUUAAUGAUUUUUUAUAUAUAGGUAAAAUUUAUAUAUAAUUAAAUAAGCCUGUAUAAAUUAAUUAUAUUGAUUCUGCGAUACCCAAGAGGGAAACUGGGAUUAGAUACCCCAUUAUUCUUGGUUGUAAAUAAACAUAAGUUUACCGGAGUACUACGAAUCUCAUACUAAAAAUUUAAAACUCAAAGAGCUUGGCGGUGUUCUAGACCUCUCAGGGGAACCUGUCUCAUAAUCGACAAUCCGCGUUACACCUAACCUUUUUUUGCAUAACAGUUUGUAUACCGUCGUCGUCAGGUAACUUUUUAGAAAAUAGAAGUUGGCAAAAAAAUUUUAUUAAAUUUAAACGUCAGAUCAAGGUGCAGCCUAUAUAAAGGUGAAGAUGGGUUACAAUUAAAAAUUAUAAUUAUGGAUAAAAUAAUGAAAUAUUUAUUUUAAUGAAGGAGGACUUGAAAGUAAAAUAAAUUUAUAUAAACUCUUUGAAUUAGGCUCUGAAACAUGCACACAUCGCCCGUCGCUCUCAUUGAAAAAUGAGAUAAGUCGUAACAUAGUAGAGGUAAUGGAAAUUGUCUCUGGAUU
RNAcentral lists this non-coding RNA (969 nucleotides) under Galeodea echinophora. RNAcentral's name for it is "12S ribosomal RNA". The stretch from base 246 to 969 matches the Rfam family "Microsporidia small subunit ribosomal RNA". Lineage: Eukaryota; Metazoa; Mollusca; Gastropoda; Littorinimorpha; Cassidae. The record is from RNAcentral.